This is a long non-coding RNA of Macaca nemestrina (pig-tailed macaque), 358 nucleotides long. The record is from Ensembl. NCBI's taxonomy places the organism in Eukaryota, Metazoa, Chordata, Mammalia, Primates, Cercopithecidae.
GCCGCCCUGGAUUACACUAGCAUUUUCACUGGAGUGUUCCACGUCAUUCUCUGAAGAAAACAUGAGAUCAGGGGAAGAUUCUCCAGCAGUACUGUUGGGUAGAUUAUUUUGAGCAAGAGACUCUUUGGGGUCUUUCCAGACACUCAGAAUGAGGUUGCUGAGUCCAGUCACGUCUGCCUGGGCACGUCCUUAGGUUUCAAGGAUUCCCGCAGCUGGCACACAGGUUCCGAGGAUGCGUACAGACCAGUCGGGCUGACAGACAUGAAAACAUAUCAGUGUGAUGGAGCAUAACGGAACCUACAAGAGACUAAAGGUACAUGAGGGGAUUCAGUGGGGGUUCACAGAGUGGACAUUCCCC